Long non-coding RNA from Mirounga angustirostris (Northern elephant seal), 1041 nucleotides. RefSeq lists it as uncharacterized. NCBI's taxonomy places the organism in Eukaryota, Metazoa, Chordata, Mammalia, Carnivora, Phocidae. The transcript is spliced from 3 exons. The record is from RefSeq and is a predicted model, not a curated record.
CACUCACCGAACUGGAGCAGCAGGCAGACCACGCCGAGGACCCCCGCGGCCCAGCCCCAGGCUCUCCCGGCGGUCAUGGCGCGUCCGGCGGGCCUCUAGGGCCGGACUGCGCGGGGGAGUCCUGGCUAAGGAGUCAGGUCUGGUCGCCCCCUCACUCUUCGGCCUCCUCCGAAACCUCCCGCCCCAGCUCCGAAAGGCACCUGGAACACUCCGUGCUGGUGAAGUGGCCAACUCCUCCGUACCACGCCAGCGUUCGGGGGACGCAGGGAACGUGGACUGGCGUGCUGUGCAGGAAGGCACCCUGAGCAGGAAGACACAGCUCCUGUGCGGUUCCUGUAUCCUGGAAAAUGCUUGCUGACAAGUCCAGGUCGGGACAACACUCCAUCGUUUGGGAAAGGUGGUGUGGUCUUGCUGCGGAGGCCCUCUGUAGCCAAGGGGAAGGUUAUUCCCCGUUCCUGUGCUCCUUCUCCAUCAAUCUCCUCCCACCCCGUCCCGUCCCCCUAAAAAAGGAAAGCUGGUUAAGGAGCUCUGCCUUCUGAACCUGCCUAUCGGGCCUCCAGGUGUGUGGUGUGUGCACAGAUCUGGGGGCAGCAUGGCCUUGACAGUCACGGUGGUUGUGUGCAUUUACUAUGAAUCAUCUUCAGCAGAUGGCAGGAAAGCGUCUUGGGAAAGCCUUUAUUGUUUUGUUUUGUUUUGUUUCCCCCAUCAUUUGUACAAAGGCACUCUUUAGGCUGGGGGCAGGGUGGGGUAAUAAAGGCUGCAAUUCUUGACCCUUGAGCCUAGCAGGCCAACGCAAUGCCAGGGGCAGAACUCCACGCUCCCAGGGCGGUUUCACGGAGAGAGGCUGGUUAAGAGAAAGAAGGACAGUGGGCUCCAGUAACUGCAAACAGCCAUAUUUUCAACAUAAUUUACUACAGGUCUCUGAAGUGUAUAUAAAACAUUUUAGUGCAACAUUUUACAAAUAGUUCUCCUUUAAAAAAAAAAACCAAAAACCAAAAAAAAAACCAAACAAACAAACAAAAAAAAAAAACAAACCAAAAA